This is a long non-coding RNA of Oreochromis aureus, 3358 nucleotides long. The record is from Ensembl. Lineage: Eukaryota; Metazoa; Chordata; Actinopteri; Cichliformes; Cichlidae.
CAAAAAUGUCAGGAGUUUUCCUGUAAUGCAACUCAGAUUGGAAUAAGUGACACUCAGACAGGUUUUACAAAUUAACGUGCGGAGAGAGAACUGGACAGGCGCCGUUCCUUCGCUUGACCUCAGUUGCUCUCGUCCGCCCUCCCGUAACACUGCUCUUUUAUUGUGGUUACAUGAAUAUGCAUAGUUUCAUUAACAUAUGACGUAUACCUUGUGUGUGUGUGUGUGUGUGGAGUCGAGAUAUGAUCCCGUGAAGACUCCCCAAAGCUGGUGCCAGGAGUCUAGCGGUCCAUCUAAACAAAAGGCUCUUAGACUCAAACAGAUAUACGUGUGUUUGUUAUACCAUAUAUCAGCAAGAGAAGAUACGGCCUCUCCUAGGAGACGUGUGAUCUAUGCCAGAACAAUAAUAAUGAAAACAUUCCUCAAGAGCUGGGCAGUUCUGAGACUGAGAUGCACUCCAGGGCCUCCCCAGAGGCUGGGUUUCAGCCCCCAGCUGACUCUGGCCCCCUGGAGGUUAAGAAGCCAGCUGAGGACUGCACCCGGCUGUCACUGCCUAAGCAGAGUCAAUGCUCUGCGCAGUCUGCUAUAUGUUUGCCAGAGGCCACUGUGCCUGCUGGUUCUGUUCUGUCCCCGCCAGAGGCCCGCGCGCCUGCUGGUUCUGUUCUGUCCCCGCCAGAGGCCCGCGAGCCUGCUGGUUCUGUUCUGUCCCCGCCAGAGGCCCGCGCGCCUGCUGGUUCUGUUUUGUUCCUGCCAGAGGCCCGCGCGCCUGCUGGUUCUGAUCCGUCCCUGCCAGAGGCCCGUGCGCCUACUGGUUCUGACCUGUCCCUGCCAGAGGUCUCCGCACCCGCUGGUUCUGUUCUGUCUCUGCCAGGGGUCUCCGCACCUGCUGGUUCUGUCCUGUGUGUGCCAGGGGCCCCAGUGCCUACUGGAUCUGAGACUGUUUUUGCUGGAGGGCCCGAGGAGCCCGUCCAGCCCCCUGCCUCGUCAGCUGGAGGGCCCAAGGAGCCCGUCCAGCCCCCUGUCUCGUCAGCUGGAGGGCCCGAGGAGCCCGUCCAGCCUCCUGCCUCGUCAGCUGGAGGUUCAGGAGAACCUAGCCAGCUUCCUGCCUCGUCAUCUGCUUCAUCCACGCCGCCUGCAGCAGCAGCCUCUUCAUCCUCGCCAGCUGCAGCCUCUUCAUCCUCGCCAGCUGCAGCCUCCGUGUCUUCGCUUUCAGCUUCGCCUGGUCCAGCCUCAUCAUCGGCUUCAGCGUCGCCUGCAGCGUCUCCGGCUUCCACACCGCCGCCAGCUGCAGCCUCAUCAUCCUCGCCAGCUUCAGCCUCAUCAUCCUCUUCAUCCUCGCCAACUGCAGCCUCUUCAUCCUCUCCAGCUGCAGCCUCCGUGUCUUCACCUUCAGCGUCGCCUGGUCCAGCUCCGGCUUCAUCCGCGCCUGGUCCAGCCUCCGCUUCAGCUGCCUCAUCCGCGUCUGGUCCAGCCUCCGCUCCGGCGUCAUCUGCCUCAUCCUUGCCUGGUCCAGCUCCGGAUUCAUCCGCCUCAUCCUUGCCUGGUCCAGCUCCGGCUUCAUCCGCCUCAUCCUUGCCUGGUCCAGCUCCGGCUUCAUCCGCCUCAUCCUUGCCUGGUCCAGCCUCCGCUUCAUCCGCCUCAUCCGCGUCUGGUCCAGCCUGCGCUUCAGCCGCCUCAUUCGCGUCUGGUCCAGCCUCCGCUUCAGCUGCCUCAUCCGCAUCUGGUCCAGCCUCCGUGUCUUCAUCCUCGUCUGGUCCAGCUCCCGCAUCAGCUCCAGCGUUGCCUGCAGCGGCCUCCUCUUCAGCCUCAUCUGCUUCGUCUGCAGCGGCCUCAUCCGCUUCGUCUGCAGCAGCCUCCUCAUCUGCUCCAGCACCGCCUGCAGCAGCUUCAGCUUCACCCACGCCUGCAGCAGCUUCAGCUUCACCCACGCCUGCAGCAGCUUCAGCUUCACCCACGCCGUCGCCUGGCCCAGCUUCAGCCUCGUCUGCUUCACCCACGCUGUCGCCUGGCCCAGCUUCAGCCUCGUCUGCUUCAGCCUCGUCUUCGCCUGGCCCAGCUUCAGCCUCGUCUGGUCCUGCGGUUGCCACUCUGUCAUUGGACCCAGCUCGGCCUGUUCCGCCUUGCCUCAGCCGGCCGUUUUCCAGGCCUCUAAGCUGGCAUCAUGGCCGUCAGGGACGGCCUCCGGACAGAGUUCGUCGCCGCCGCUGGCAUCGCGGCCGACCUCCGGACCUGCCCUGUGGCCGCCACUGGCUUCCAAGUGGUCGGCCACCUGAUUGGUUUUGCCUGCGCCGCCGCCGUUGCCGUGUGCACGGUCGGCCUCCAGAACUGUUUGCCCGUCGCCGCCAUUGCCGUCCGCACGGUCGGCCCCCAGAGCUGUUUCCAUGCCACUGCCUACUGCAUGACUCGCCUUCGGACCUGCCCCGCUACCGCUGCUUUUCGCAUGGUCGGCCUCCGGAACUGAACUGUUUUGGCCUCCUGUGCUGUCGGCCUCCGGGUCGGCCCCCUGAACUUGGCCAUCUGGGCCUUUUUGGACUCGGUCCCUCCGUCCUGGACCCCCACCGCCCGCCCUGGUCGGGUCGUUUUCUGUUUUUUGGUUGUGUUUGUGUUUCUGUUGGGCUGUCUGGAGCCAGCCCUUGAGGGGGGGGGUACUGUCAUGGUCCUGAGCCUGCCGACUCAGUGUUUUGUGUUUCCUUAUGCUUUUGUUCAUUCCGAGUAUGUAUUCUGUUGUGAUUUGCCAUUUGUUAGGUUUCUGUUCUUUGCCUGCCUGCCCCCACUUCUCUGUGUUCCCUCCGUCUGUCCAUGGUGUGACACUGUUUGUUUGUGAAUCUGUCUGUUUAGUUCAGUGUCUUGUCUGGUUCUGUGUUUAAGUUUCCUGUUUUAUUGUGAAGGUCUCCGUCUGUUGUGAGUGUGUUCAGUUUACGUUUCCCCUGUCCCGUCAGCUCUGAUUUCUCCCAGCUUUGUUGCCCUCCUGUUUCUCAUUCCCUGAUUACUGGUGUGUGUAUUUAAGCCCUGUGUGUUCUCCUGCCUGUUGCCGGUUCGUCUGUGUUCCACGGUGUCCUGUUCCCCGUCCGUGUCUCUCUGCCUCUCACCCCAUUCUGGUAUCCUCUCAGGUUUGUUAUUUAGUUUUCCCAGUUUAGGUUUGUUCUGUUCAUUCUCUUCCCUCACUGCCUGUUUUUGCCUCUCCACCACUUGUAAAUAAAUGUCACUCGAAUCAUCAGUCACUGCCUGCAUUUUGGGUCCUCCUUUCCUUUUUUUUUUUUUUCUUUCUUUUUUUUUUAAACCUGUCCCGUUUGGUUCUUUUGCCAUCAGAAUUAUUGUCUAAAGGCGAAGAAAGAUGCCCAACGGAUUUACUUUACCAAAU